RNAcentral lists this ribosomal RNA (347 nucleotides) under uncultured bacterium. RNAcentral's name for it is "partial 16S ribosomal RNA". It matches the Rfam family "Bacterial small subunit ribosomal RNA", at positions 338 to 682 of the family's 1533-position model. The record is from RNAcentral.
CCUACGGGAGGCAGCAGUGAGGAAUAUUGGUCAAUGGGCGUACGCCUGAACCAGCCAAGUCGCGUGAGGGAAGACUGCCCUAUGGGUUGUAAACCUCUUUUGUCAGGGAGCAACGCCGGCUACGUGUAGCCGGACGGAGAGGACCUGAAGAAAAAGCAGCGGCUAACUCCGUGCCAGCAGCCGCGGUAAUACGGAGGAUGCGUGCGUUAUCCGGAUUGAUUGGGUUUAAAGGGGGCGUAGGCGGAAUGCCAAGUCAGCGGGAAACUCGCGGGGCUCAACCGCGCUCCGCCGUUGAAACUGGCGUUCUUGCGUGGGCUAGACGUCUGCGGCAUGCGUGGUGUAGCGGU